This 253-nucleotide ribosomal RNA is filed under the name uncultured bacterium. RNAcentral describes it as "partial 16S ribosomal RNA". It matches the Rfam family "Bacterial small subunit ribosomal RNA", at positions 524 to 776 of the family's 1533-position model. The record is from RNAcentral.
UACGUAGGGGGCUAGCGUUGUCCGGAAUCACUGGGCGUAAAGCGCACGUAGGUGGCGACGUAAGUCGGGUGUGAAAGCCCCGGGCUCAACCUGGGAAUUGCAUUCGAGACUGCAUUGCUGGAGUACGGAAGAGGAGGGCGGAAUUCCCGGUGUAGCGGUGAAAUGCGUAGAGAUCGGGAGGAACACCUGUGGCGAAGGCGGCCACCUGGGCCGACCCUGACGCUGAGGCGCGAAGGCGUGGGGAGCGAACGGG